This 46-nucleotide non-coding RNA is filed under the name Trichobilharzia regenti. The record is from RNAcentral. Lineage: Eukaryota; Metazoa; Platyhelminthes; Trematoda; Strigeidida; Schistosomatidae.
AUACUACUGAAGAGUCCCAAACUAGGACGAAACGGCCGUCCAGUAC